Molecule: ribosomal RNA, 1416 nt
Filed under: uncultured prokaryote
Description: partial 16S ribosomal RNA
Rfam family: Bacterial small subunit ribosomal RNA
Source: RNAcentral
UGCAAGUCGAGCGGAAACGAUGGGAGCUUGCUCCCAGGCGUAGAGCGGCGGACGGGGGAGUAACGCGUAGGAAUCUACCUAGUAGUGGGGGGCAACUUGUGGAAACGCAAGCUAAUACCGCAUACGCCCUACGGGGGAAAGCGGGGGGUCUUCGGUUCGGCCACCUUAUGAGGAGUCCGCGUUGGAUUAGCUAGUUGGUGGGGUAAAGGCCUACCAAGGCGACGAUCUAUAGCUGGUCUGAGAGGAUGAUCAGCCACACUGGGACUGAGACACGGCCCAGACUCCUACGGGAGGCAGCAGUGGGGAAUAUUGCGCAAUGGACGAAAGCCUGACGCAGCAAUGCCGCGUGGGUGAAGAAGGCCUUCGGGUUGUAAAGCCCUUUCAGUAGGGAAGAUAGUGACAAAGUUAAUAGCCUGUAGCUGUGACAUUACCUGCCGAAUAAGCACCGGCUAACUCCGUGCCAGCAGCCGCGGUAAUACGGAGGGUGCAAGCGUUAAUCGGAAUUACUGGGCGUAAAGCGCGCGUAGGCGGUUAUUUAAGUCAGAUGUGAAAGCCCCGGGCUCAACCUGGGAACUGCAUUUGAUACUGGCAAACUUGAGUAUGGUAGAGGGGGGGAGAAUUUCUAGUGUAGCGGUGAAAUGCGUAGAUAUUAGAAGGAAUACCAGUGGCGAAGGCGGCCCCCUGGACCAAUACUGACACUGAGGUACGAAAGCGUGGGUAGCGAACGGGAUUAGAUACCCCGGUAGUCCACGCCGUAAACGAUGUCAACUAGCCGUUGGGACCUUGAGGUCUCAGUGGUGCAGCUAACGCGUGAAGUUGACCGCCUGGGGAGUACGGCCGCAAGGCUAAAACUCAAAUGAAUUGACGGGGGCCCGCACAAGCGGUGGAGCAUGUGGUUUAAUUCGAUGCAACGCGAAGAACCUUACCUACCCUUGACAUUGACAGAAUCCAGCAGAGAUGCUUGGUGCCUUCGGGAACCGAGUGACAGGUGCUGCAUGGCUGUCGUCAGCUCGUGUCGUGAGAUGUUGGGUUAAGUCCCGUAACGAGCGCAACCCUUAUCCUUAGUUGCCAGCACAUUAUGGUGGGGACUCUAAGGAGACUGCCGGUGAUAAACCGGAGGAAGGUGAGGACGACGUCAAGUCAUCAUGGCCCUUAUAGGUAGGGCUACACACGUCUUACAAUGGGCAGUACAGAGGGAUGCAAGACCGCGAGGUGGAGCAAAUCCCAGAAAGCUGUUCUCAGUCCGGAUUGGAGUCUGCAACUCGACUCCAUGAAGUUGGAAUCGCUAGUAAUCGCGAAUCAGCAUGUCGCGGUGAAUACGUUCCCGGGCCUUGUACACACCGCCCGUCACACCAUGGGAGUGAGUUGUACCAGAAGCGGGUAUACUAACCUUCGGGAGGUCGAUCACCACGGUGU